Non-coding RNA from Callorhinus ursinus (northern fur seal), 880 nucleotides. The record is from RefSeq and is a predicted model, not a curated record. NCBI's taxonomy places the organism in Eukaryota, Metazoa, Chordata, Mammalia, Carnivora, Otariidae.
AAAUCAGUGGCAUUCUUAUACCUGAACCUCCAAAUCUGGGACACAGCAGGGCAAGUUGACUAUGACCGCCUGCGGCCCCUCUUCUACCCCGACGCCAGCGUCCUUCUCCUCUGCUUCGAUGUCACCAGCCCGCACAGCUUUGACAACAUCUCUAACCGGUGGUACUCAGAGGUGAACCACUUCUGCAAGGAGGUGCCCAUCGUUGUCGUGGGCUGCAAGACUGACCUGCGCAAGGACAAGUCGCUGGUGAAGAAGCUGCGGAAAAAUAGGUUGGAGCCUGUGACCUACCACAGGGGCCAGGAGAUGGCAAGGUCCGUGGGCGCAGUGGCCUACCUCGAGUGCUCAGCCCUGCUCCAAGAAAACGUCCACGCGGUCUUCCAGGAAGCAGCGCAGGUGGCCCUCAGCAGCCGCAGUCGCAACUUCUGGAGGAGGGUUACCCGGAGCUGUUGCGUGGUGACCUGACAUCUUGAGGCCCUCCCUGCCCCAACCCCCCAGCAGCUCAGGAAGGAGCUGGGUGCUGAGCUGCCCAGUUGGCUGGGCUGGACCCAGUCCCGAGGCUGUGAUCACCGAACUGCACCUCAAACAGAUGGACACCACCGAGGCCGGGCCCCUGACCCUGGGGCUGCAAUCCCUGGACUAGAGCGUAACCCCCACUGCAAGGCCUGAGGAAGGGGCUUCCAGAGCCCACCUGCCUGGUAAAGGGCUACUCCUGGGGUCCCCUAAAAAUGACGACCAGACUCCCAGCUCCCAGCCUGGACCCACACAUCCGGAAGCAGCCUGUUCAGGGCUGCACCUUCGGGACCUGGCACUCCCAGGACCCUGGGCCACUACUCACACCCUUCCCCAUCCCCUUGCCCCCUGCCCAUCCAGUGGUAACUAU